CAUUUCUUCCACUAUAAUCCCUUGAAUCAACCCAUUAACCAAGCACUUCCCACCACCACCUACAUCACGCUCCGCAGCAGCAGCAGUAACAGACCUGGAUCGAAGAUCACCAUCUUCUUUCAUUGCGCCUCAUUGCCUCAUUCUCAUCUGCUCCGGGAAAUUUUGCACAGUUGGAGUUAAAAUCUCAGGGUCCCGCGUGUAAUCUUUCUCUAUUUCCUCUGAUUUCUAUGCUGAAAUCUUCUCGAAAAUAUUAGCCUCCGACAAUAGAUUAUUGGAGAAGAUCCUCUCCAAGCGGUACAGCCACCUGUCUGAGUUAUCUUCACUAAAUAUUGGUAACUUAAACUUCCUUAUUAGUCUCCAGAUGUUUCCCUCUUGAUAUUUCCUAGUUUCCCCAGUUUCUUCUGUCAUUUUGCCUCGGUCUCACUACUGCUGAUCUCCCACGGGUCCCUUGUGAACAUUAGGUGGUGACUGAACCUCCAAAACACUUCCAGAUCUAUCUCCCUCCAUAGCUUUAUUCAUGGUUGCUUUUGGAAAAAUAAGAGUUGCCAAAGUUUUCUGUGUAUCUUCCAUGGAUUGCAGCAUCUUUGUCAUGCUCUGUUUGAGGUGUUCCACUGAGAUCUCUAGGCCUGGUAAGCGUUUGAGCUCAAAUUUCAAUUCCUUUAGCGUCUUCCCCAUUACUUCCACUCUGAUUUCUAUCUUC
RNAcentral lists this long non-coding RNA (700 nucleotides) under Olea europaea subsp. europaea. Lineage: Eukaryota; Viridiplantae; Streptophyta; Magnoliopsida; Lamiales; Oleaceae. The record is from RNAcentral.